RNAcentral lists this ribosomal RNA (497 nucleotides) under uncultured bacterium. Its description in RNAcentral is "partial 16S ribosomal RNA". It matches the Rfam family "Bacterial small subunit ribosomal RNA", at positions 28 to 507 of the family's 1533-position model. The record is from RNAcentral.
GAUGAACGCUGGCGGCGUGCCUAAUACAUGCAAGUCGAGCGAACAGAUGAGGAGCUUGCUCCUCUGACGUUAGCGGCGGACGGGUGAGUAACACGUGGAUAACCUACCUAUAAGACUGGGAUAACUUCGGGAAACCGGAGCUAAUACCGGAUAAUAUAUUGAACCGCAUGGUUCAAUAGUGAAAGACGGUUUUGCUAUCACUUAUAGAUGGAUCCGCGCCGCAUUAGCUAGUUGGUAAGGUAACGGCUUACCAAGGCAACGAUGCGUAGCCGACCUGAGAGGGUGAUCGGCCACACUGGAACUGAGACACGGUCCAGACUCCUACGGGAGGCAGCAGUAGGGAAUCUUCCGCAAUGGGCGAAAGCUUGACGGAGCAACGCCGCGUGAGUGAUGAAGGUCUUCGGAUCGUAAAACUCUGUUAUUAGGGAAGAACAAAUGUGUAAGUAACUAUGCACGUCUUGACGGUACCUAAUCAGAAAGCCACGGCUAACUACGUG